Molecule: ribosomal RNA, 253 nt
Filed under: uncultured bacterium
Lineage: Bacteria
Description: partial 16S ribosomal RNA
Rfam family: Bacterial small subunit ribosomal RNA
Source: RNAcentral
UACGUAGGGGGCAAGCGUUAUCCGGAUUUUCUGGGUGUAAAGGGAGCGUAGACGGCGAUGCAAGCCAGAUGUGAAAGCCCGGGGCUCAACCCCGGGACUGCAUUUGGAACUGUAUAGCUAGAGUGUCGGAGAGGCAGGCGGAAUUCCUAGUGUAGCGGUGAAAUGCGUAGAUAUUAGGAGGAACACCAGUGGCGAAGGCGGCCUGCUGGACGAUGACUGACGUUGAGGCUCGAAAGCGUGGGGAGCAAACAGG